Molecule: ribosomal RNA, 806 nt
Filed under: uncultured bacterium
Lineage: Bacteria
Description: bacterial SSU rRNA
Rfam family: Bacterial small subunit ribosomal RNA
Source: RNAcentral
UGCAAGCCGAGCGGUAUUUGUCUUUCGGGACAGAGAGAGCGGCGUACGGGUGCGGAACACGUGUGCAACCUGCCUUUAUCUGGGGGAUAGCCUUUCGAAAGGAAGAUUAAUACCCCAUAAUAUAAUUGAUGGCAUCAUUGAUUAUUGAAAACUCCGGUGGAUAGAGAUGGGCACGCGCAAGAUUAGAUAGUUGGUGAGGUAACGGCUCACCAAGUCGAUGAUCUUUAGGGGGCCUGAGAGGGUGAUCCCCCACACUGGGACUGAGACACGGCCCAAACUCCUACGGGAGGCAGCAGUGAGGAAUAUUGGACAAUGGGUUAGCGCCUGAUCCAGCCAUCCCGCGUGAAGGACGACGGCCCUAUGGGUUGUAAACUUCUUUUGUACAGGGAUAAACCUACUCUCGUGAGAGUGGCUGAAGGUACUGUACGAAUAAGCACCGGCUAACUCCGUGCCAGCAGCCGCGGUAAUACGGAGGGUGCAAGCGUUAUCCGGAUUUAUUGGGUUUAAAGGGUCCGUAGGCGGCCUGUUAAGUCAGGGGUGAAAGACGGUAGCUCAACUAUCGCAGUGCCCUUGAUACUGAUGGGCUUGAAUGGACUAGAGGUAGGCGGAAUGAGACAAGUAGCGGUGAAAUGCAUAGAUAUGUCUCAGAACACCGAUUGCGAAGGCAGCUUACUAUGGUCUUAUUGACGCUGAGGCACGAAAGCCGUGGGGAUCAAACAGGAUUAGAUACCCUGGUAGUCCACGCCCUAAACGAUGAACACUCGCUGUUGGCGAUACACAGUCAGCGGCUAAGCGAAAGCGUUAAG